This 392-nucleotide ribosomal RNA is filed under the name uncultured bacterium. Its description in RNAcentral is "partial 16S ribosomal RNA". It matches the Rfam family "Bacterial small subunit ribosomal RNA", at positions 523 to 918 of the family's 1533-position model. The record is from RNAcentral.
AUACGGAGGAUCCGAGCGUUAUCCGGAUUUAUUGGGUUUAAAGGGUGCACAGGCGGCCAUUUAAGUCAGCGGUUAAAUCGUGGGGCUCAACCCCAUUCUGCCGUUGAUACUGGGUGGCUUGAUUGCGGACGAGGUUGGCGGAAUUCGUUGUGUAACGGUGUAAUGCAUGCAUAUGAGGAAGAAAACCGAUUGCGUAGGCUGCUGACCGAUACGGAGAAGUCGCUGAUGCGCGAAAGCGCGCGGAUCGAAAUGGUUUAGAUACACUGGUGGUGCGCAGAGUAGACGAUUAAUUCUUGUUUUCGGCGACAUAAUGUCGUAGGUUAAGCGAAAGCGAUUAGUUAUCCAGCUGGGGAGUGCGCUGGAACCGCUGAGACUUAGAUAAAUUCGCGGGG